GUAGCUUUUUUAAACCCAUUCUUUAUAACUGAUUAUACUGUAGGGACGAAAGUCUCUGCUUUUAACUAGAUAGCAACUUUCAGCAGUGGAUGUCUAGGCUCGCACAUCGAUGAAGAACGCUGCGAACUGCGAUACGUAAUGCGAAUUGCAGGAUUCAGUGAGUCAUCGAAAUUUUGAACGCAUAUUGCACUUCCGGGUUAGUCCUGGGAGUAUGCCUGUAUCAGUGUCCGUACAUCAAACUUGGUUUUCUUCCUUCCGUGUAGUCGGUGGUGGAUGUGCCAGAUGUGAAGUGUCUUGCGGCUGGUCUUCGGAUCGGCUGUGAGUCCUUUGAAAUGUACUGAACUGUACUUCUCUUUGCUCCAAAAGCGUGGCGUUGCUGAUUGUGGAGGCUGCUUGCGUAGCCAGUCUGGCGACCAGUUUGUCUGCUGUGGCAUUAAUGGAGGAGUGUUCGAUUCGCGGUAUGGUUGGCUUCGGCUGAACAGACGCUUAUUAAAUAUUUCUUCAGCUGUGGUGGUAUGAGUUGGUGAACCGUAGCUAUGUGAGCUUGGCUUUUGAAUUGGCUUUGCUGUUGCGAAGUAGAGUGGCGGCUUCGGCUGUCGAGGGUCGAUCCAUUUGGGAACUUGUGUAUGCUUCGGCAUGCAUCUCAA
Molecule: ribosomal RNA, 647 nt
Filed under: Phytophthora palmivora
Lineage: Eukaryota; Oomycota; Peronosporomycetes; Peronosporales; Peronosporaceae
Description: eukaryotic LSU rRNA
Rfam family: 5.8S ribosomal RNA (bases 75-229)
Source: RNAcentral